This 489-nucleotide ribosomal RNA is filed under the name Sipunculus nudus (marine worm). Its description in RNAcentral is "partial 16S ribosomal RNA". It matches the Rfam family "Bacterial large subunit ribosomal RNA", at positions 1817 to 2598 of the family's 2925-position model. The record is from RNAcentral. Lineage: Eukaryota; Metazoa; Annelida; Sipuncula; Golfingiida; Sipunculidae.
CGCCUCCUGAUUCUCCCAUAGGAGGUCCAACCUGCCCAGUGAAUUCUUCAACGGCCGCGGUACCCUGACCGUGCUAAGGUAGCGUAAUCACUUGCCCUUUAAUUGGGGGCUGGUAUGAAAGGUCAAACGAGGGUGAAACUGUCUCACCCAAGCCCAUUAAAAAUUGUCCUCCAUGUGAAGAGACUUGACUACUAUAGAAAGACGAGAAGACCCUGUCAAGCUUUACACCUUAUAUGACCCCUAACCCCGCCAUCAUAAAAAGUGUUUUGUUGGGGCAACACAGGAACACACUCUUCCUCACAACCACUCUUCAAUAAAUCAAACAAUCCGGCACCGCCGAAUAAAAACCAAGCUACUGCAGGGAUAACAGGCUAAUCUGCUUCGAGAGCCCACAUUGACAAGCAGGCUUGGCACCUCGAUGUUGGCUUAGGGACCCUCGCUGGGGCAGCCCCCGGCGAAAGGAGGUUUGUUCAAACCUAUAACCCCCUA